AUUGAACGCUGGCGGCAUGCCUAACACAUGCAAGUCGAACGGUAACGACGGGAGCUUGCUCCCGGGCGACGAGUGGCGGACGGGUGAGUAAUACUUAGGAAUCUGCCCAGUAGUGGGGGACAACUCGAGGAAACUCGAGCUAAUACCGCAUACGCCCUACGGGGGAAAGUGGAGGAUCUUCGGACUUCACGCUAUUGGAUGAGCCUAAGUCGGAUUAGCUUGUAGGUAGGGUAACGGCCUACCUAGGCAACGAUCCGUAGCUGGUCUGAGAGGACGAUCAGCCACACUGGAACUGAGACACGGUCCAGACUCCUACGGGAGGCAGCAGUGGGGAAUAUUGGACAAUGGGGGCAACCCUGAUCCAGCAAUGCCGCGUGUGUGAAGAAGGCCUGCGGGUUGUAAAGCACUUUCAGUAGAGAAGAAAAGCUUACGGUUAAUACCCGUGAGUCUUGACGUAACCUACAGAAGAAGCACCGGCUAACUCCGUG
Molecule: ribosomal RNA, 488 nt
Filed under: uncultured bacterium
Lineage: Bacteria
Description: bacterial SSU rRNA
Rfam family: Bacterial small subunit ribosomal RNA
Source: RNAcentral